This 493-nucleotide ribosomal RNA is filed under the name uncultured bacterium. RNAcentral's name for it is "bacterial SSU rRNA". It matches the Rfam family "Bacterial small subunit ribosomal RNA", at positions 21 to 507 of the family's 1533-position model. The record is from RNAcentral.
GGCUCAGGAUGAACGCUAGCUACAGGCUUAACACAUGCAAGUCGAGGGGCAGCACAAGGCAGCAAUGCUGAGGUGGCGACCGGCGCACGGGUGCGUAACGCGUAUCCAACCUUCCCGUUACUCUUGGAUAGCCUUCCGAAAGGGAGAUUAAUACAAGAUGGUGUUGAAAUUCCGCAUGUUAUUUCAACUAAAGAUUUAUCGGUAACGGAUGGGGAUGCGUGACAUUAGAUAGAUGGCGGGGUAACGGCCCACCAUGUCUACGAUGUCUAGGGGUUCUGAGAGGAAGGUCCCCCACACUGGAACUGAGACACGGUCCAGACUCCUACGGGAGGCAGCAGUGAGGAAUAUUGGUCAAUGGCCGGAAGGCUGAACCAGCCAAGUAGCGUGAAGGAUGAAGGUUCUAUGGAUUGUAAACUUCUUUUAUGAGGGAAUAAAACCUCCCACGUGUGGGAGCUUGUAUGUACCUUAUGAAUAAGCAUCGGCUAACUCCGUG